Passer domesticus (house sparrow) is the source of this 10052-nucleotide long non-coding RNA. RefSeq lists it as uncharacterized. The transcript has 7 exons. Lineage: Eukaryota; Metazoa; Chordata; Aves; Passeriformes; Passeridae. The record is from RefSeq and is a predicted model, not a curated record.
UGGAGACCCCAAGGCCGGCUGAGGUGUGGGAAUCGCUCCUGGCCGAGGUCCGGCCUCGCAGGGUCCCCAGGCAGGAGCCUGUGGCGCCCCUGGACUUGCCGAUUGUGGUUAACCUUGGAGGGGCGAAAGUUUACCAAGAGCGGCCUGCGAAAAGACACGAGAGGAGUUGGGCGAUGCCUUGUCAAAAUAUGCGUUUUUCAUCACAGUGUGAGAAACGACAGCGAAGGGCAGCUUUCAGCCCUGUUAGAACAGUAACUGCUGUGUGUGUCCCAGCAGAAGAAAUGAGGGACAGAACUUUUCCUAGGGUUUACAGAUAGAGACAACUUUCCUUGGAGUUUUCCUUUGCACCCGUCAUUCAGACCAUUUUGAGGCACUGCAUUUUGGUCUCACCCAGUGUUGGAUAUUCUGCCAUUAUCUGAAAAUGGCCAUUAUUUGGACUUUGUGUUUCAGUAAUUGUUUAAGACAGUUUGAAUUUGAUACCGGUGCCUGUAAUAGCCUCACAUAACAAGAUCACAUGCCAACCAGGUCAGGCCAAGUAGCAAGCCUUGGCCCCAAGCCCUGGGCAAGAGCACUGUGUCACCAGGCUGCAGGGAUCCUUCCAUACCUAUCGCCGCUUUGUUCUGGUCUGCUUUUCACUUAGAGAGAAGGAAAAAACAGGCAUUCAAACCAGAAACCAGGAUUUUUUAAAAGAGUACCCAACGUUGAUUUUAUUGUGGUGUGUAGGUAACAGAUACGUGCAGGGACAGAACCAUGUGAAAAAGAAAUUUACCAGAAGAUUAGUCCAUCAACUCAUUGCUAAGGUAACUAUUUCUCUUCACAAAAUGAUACCAAAUUUAUUAUCUGAAGAACUCUGGAAAAAGAAGAGCUGCUGAAAACUAAGCACUGUUUAAAGUAAUUUUCUCAAUCAAUGUCAGCAGACAUGUGCUCUAAAAUAAUUUGUAUCUCAGUGGUGUCAAGGAACCCCUAAAAAGAGGAGUUAGGUCACUUGUAUCACUUCAAAGAUCAGAACAGCUCUGCUUGGGGUAAUCAUCGUGGUCAUCUUCAGGCUUGACCAGUCCAGCACUUGUCACUACAUCACAGCUCCACUUGCUGAGUGUUUCAGCCGCAGCAACCAGAAUAGCCCAGCAGUGCCCAGUAGAGCAGCAGUCACACCCAAGAACACAGACAUAAAGACAAAGCUUGUGGAUUGGCACCAUGAGUUGCAGGUAUUCCAGGGUACCAGAUCGGUGGCUACCUACCCGCGAAAGCUCCUGUGCCUUGGAUCCUUCAUUUUCCCUUUUCUGAAGACUGUUGGCUAUCAUCUCUGCUAAGUCAUCGUGUAACCGCUGCUGAUUCUCCCUAAAAUCAACAGGAUGGGGAAAAAAAUUCAGUGAUUCACAUGUUUUUGGUGAUCCUCAGGUCCCCAGAGAUUUUUAAACAUUUCUAUUCCCAUAUUUAUCUUAAUGACAUUCACACACUACUGAUAAAAAGUGGGGCCAGGACCAAAUUCUGGUUCUGAACUUAGGAACAGAAGAAGGAUUUUCAUGUGAGUUUUCCAGAUAGUAGGUCUGUAGCUGUGUCAUUAUUGACCUUAAAAAGCCAUGAUCACUUGCACGAAAAGGAAGACAAAGAGUCAAUCCUAAUCAAAACAGUUUGCAACUCUCAAUAUCAUUCCUUUAUGACACCAGCUCUCAAUAUCAUUACUUCAUGGCACCAGGACUUUAACUAUUCAACUUCAGGUGGCCUUCAGUAAUAGAGCUGCCAUUGUUUCAGAAACUUCUUCAGUGUUUUUGGCUUUUGCUGGAGUAUCCCAUAUAUGACAAUUUUGAGGGGCAGUCAUAUAUGAGGAAGUGAAAACAAAAGCAUCACUGUGAUCCAGCUCAAGAGGUGCUUUCAAUUGUUGAAUUCCAGCAGACUGACAAUGCAAUAAUUCUGGUAGUUUCAACAGAUCAUAUUAAUUUUUAAAACAGAGUUCUGAGUUUACAAAAGAGAUCUAUCAUGAGGUAGCCUUGACAGUAUUUCCUGCUCAGCCCAAACACUUGUACUUUCCAUUUAAAAAAAUAACAAAGCUCAUGAGAUUCUGUAGCAGAUUAAAAAUUUCAUUAUUUCUGGUUUGCAAAUGCCCUGAGAAAACCCUCAUAUUCCACUUAAUCUCCUCUUUUAGGGAAUAAAUGGACAGAGAAUUUUAUUUGUGCAAAGAUCACACUGUAAGACUCAGAACUUACAGUAGAAGCAAGCUGUAACAUUUACUUAUGUGUGUCAGGACAAGAGAUCCCCAUGUACCUGGCAAACUCCAAUUUGCAGUAUCAUUGCUUCAAUUUGUAAUGAAACAUUGUCAUUUCAAAGCAGAUGGCAACAAAUUCCCACUUAGUGAAGAGAGACUGUACACAGGUGUUUGAAGCAAAAAGUGAGGAACUUCCACAUUUAGUGAGUUUGCAGGAAAUAAAGAGGUACUCAUAUGCAAAAUAUACACUAAAAAAUGCAGCAAGUUAUCCUGACUUCACUUUUGCAUAGUUGCUCAAAAACAUCACUUCCACCAUUGCUAUAUUUUAUUCAAUUCUAAUGCAAAAUGAUGGCUCAGUUCCAGAACAUCAACCUGUUGGUUUUUUUGGGUUUUUUAUUACUGAUAACUUCUCUAAAUGUUAGAAAGUAAGCUCUUGUUUAAUUUUUAAAGGCUUUAUUCCUGUGCAGUACUACAGUAACUUGGUCCACCUCUUGUAGCAGAAUAGUGCUUGAAAUCCUGUCAGUUUCAUUCCUCUUACAAAUUCUUCCACAAGAGUUCACAGGCACAACAGAGCUGCACACUCAGUUGUGGUUAUCCUCUUCCUGUAGUGUGACACACAUGUGCCACUCAGACUAAACUUGUGGGAAUAUUAAUGUUUUUUAUUUUCCUGUCCAUCUCUUGCUUUUAUCACAUCAGCAACUUGUCCUGUAAGUUCCAAGUUUCCAAGGCAAAGAACCUGCUAAAUAUUUAUGUAGACAACCUUCAGCACACACAGAGUCUCAUGUAAUGAAUAUUUACAUGUUUAUAUGCAUAUUCACUAUCAAGCCUCUAACAACUGAAGGCAAAUUGAAUGGUAUACAAAAUCCACAAGUACCAAGGAGGAACAAUAAGGGCUAAAGUGCAAAGAAUGGGAAUUUCUCCUUCCUUUGCACAUAAAAAGACCAUCUUACACAGAAGGAGGUGUUGGGAGAUUGUAUUUCUUGUCCUCAGUACCCGUCAACCAGUAGGUAAUUUCUGUUCCUCUGCCCUAAAGAAGAGAAAGCACAAUGUUGGGAUUAGAGUGCAAUUUCCUGUAGUUAAUUUACUUAAAUAAUACUCUCUUGCACGUUGCCAUAUUUCCUUUGCUUAUUUUCAGUAACUGAUGCUGACAGCAAAGGAUUACAAAUUAGAUGUGAGAAGAAGAAGGAUGGGACAGAUGCAGCUGCACACUCAGUUCCUUGUUUCAUGACCUGAGACACAAGUUGUGGGAGAGCUAAAAUUAAAUCCUUACGCAAGCCUGUGGAUUCCAUCCGCGAAGCUGUGUUUACUGUAUCUCCAAACAAACAGUAACGAGGCAUUUUUAUUCCAACCACACCAGCUGCACAUGGACCUGGAAAUGGGAUGCAGAGAGGUAAAAAGGGUGAAUCAAGAGACUUGAUUUAUUUGGCAGGUAUCUCAUUGCUGCAAAGCAGUGCAGUGCCUGGGGGAACUCUGCAUUCCUCACCAAUGGUAACACUUUCUACCUCAUUUCCCACAAUAUCUUGUGGUCUCCCGCUACAAACCAAGCCUAGCUCUGUUAUUCUUGCAUAAUCCAAUAAUAUAAUAAAAAGGUCACAGCUGCACAGUGUUAAUUGUAUUUAAGCGGAAUUUCUGUGCAGAAAAAAAGAAGUACAUUUAUUAACUGUCAUGUUUGGAAGCAAGAGAAAAAAAGAAUAAGCUUCAUUAGGCAGGGGUGAAUAGUCGUGCUUCAAGAGGCUUCCCAGUGCCUCAGUCACUUUCUCUGUGUUCCUCCCCUGGCAGUUGGUGUUGAAGUGGUUGAGGAAUUUCGCAAAGUUGUUGCGCUGGAGUUCCCCUUUGACAAAAAGUAUUUUUAUAGAUAAAUUAAAACAUUAAGUCCCACACAGACUCAAAAAAAUUUUGCCUCUAAAAGUACAAAAUACAGGCUUGCAUUUUUUGCCUAGAUAAGCAUAGCUGGCCAUGACUGAUCUCCACUUCAGUCAGAGAGAAAUAAGACGUGAAGGCUUAUUUGAUACAAUUGGUUUAAUUACACCAGGAACAGUGGCUGUUGAUCAUGCUAGCUACUGUCUUAGGCUGUCAAUUAAUGGGUAUGGGCUCUUUCACUGCAGCAGGGGCAAAAACAGUGACUUAUUUACUUCUGUUACUCUUCCUCUGUGAACAUUUUUUUCCACUUGAUUCUUCAUGAGGAGGGCAAUUGUGUAUGGUGUAUUACCACAUCUUGUAUAGGUGUUAAUUUAGUGCAAAACCAGGCAACAACAUUGUCACUGUUGAUCUAGCAUUACUGUGUACCAGAGUGAAUUCCAAUGCGAAUCCAAACAGGCAGCCCUGGCAGAUGUCUCAGUUCAAAAGAUCCCAUGAAGCUGAGGAUGUCCAGAGCCAUCAUGGAGAUGUCCACUGCAUGCCGGUUGCCAUUCCUCUUCGGUAAACCACUCACCACCAUGUAAGCAUCACCAAUGGUCUCCACCUGUGGAAAUAAAAUCAGAACUCACUAUUUCCAGACAUAGAAAAGUACAUCUUUAGUUAAAAGCAGAAAGAUUUUAUCAGAUCCUCUUGUUCAUGACUAAACAUGUCUUCCCCUGAGAACAGGAUUUUUUUAGUUUAAGGUAGCUGACAUAAUUUGGGUAUAGGAGUGUUUAUAACUAUACCCAGCAUUCCAAUUAAUGAAUGUCUGACCACCUACUGUAGGAAAUUUGAUAUAAGCAGGCACAGUGAAAGCAUAUUUAAAUUAAGUAAUCAUUUAAAUAUGACCUGUUUUUCUCUCUUUUGCUUUGCUUAGAAGGCAGAUUCCCAAAUCCACCACAUCAUGCAGUUUGAUUUGUGUGUCCACUGGUUGUAAAUGAGCACAAGUACAGAGCUAAUCACCUUGUAAACAUCAUGAUGGUCAAGAAUGUGGUCAAAGUUCUUGUAGAUAUCGUUGAGCAUAUCUACCACCUCCAUAGGGGUGCUGUAUUUGCAGAGCGUGGUGAAGCCAACAAUGUCACUGAAGUAGAUAGUGACUUCUUCAAACAGCUCUGGCUCUACCAGGCCAGUCUCCUUCAAAGACUUUACUACUGGCCUGUGGAAAUAGAGAAGGCAGGAAUACAGAUGACUAGGGUUUACUAUUAAAGGUCUUUUUUUCAUGCAAUCCAAUCACAGUAGGAUUUCUGUGUAGGAAACAUUAAAAAGUUCGCUGAAAACUGCCAUUGUAAUCACAUUUUAGAUGUCCACAAUGCCUUUCAGCCAGGGACCUCAAAACACUUGCUAAUGGUAAUUCAUGCACUACAGACUUCCAAAAUUCAAUCUAUGUGUGAAUAGCCAUGAGGAAACUGAGACACAGGCAACUAAGUCUCUUCGUUAAGAUCAGAAACAGGGAUAUUGAGUCAAAUUUAAAACUGAAAUUCUGAACUUCCUGAUAUGUAGACCUACAUUCUACUCAUACAAUAAGAACAGACAUAUUUUUCAGUUUUCCCAGCACAGAAGUAAUUUCAUGAUAAUAAUUACAUCAACUCAUCCUGAUUUCAGAUGAGGUAUCUUAGUCUGGUAAUUUAUGGAAGAAAAAUUCUAUACCAUAAUAGUCAAUGUCUAUUCAAGAGGGAAUUUGUUUUUCUUGCAAUUCUAAAUCCAGGGAAAUAUGUGUUCCUAGUGGUGAAUCUAGAAGACAAGAACUGAAAGAGACCCAGAAAAUUAUGGGUUUUGCACAAUGCUGUGUUCCAUCUACAAUGAAAUGGUUACAGAGUGGUAGUAACAACAAAGUGUGGAAGCAGACAUGAAUUCCUUGUUGCACCACUGUCUACACAGCCAGAUCAUUCCUGAUUCCCCCCAAAACUGUAUUCAACACAAUUUUUAUUUUUUACAAUGAGUCAUAAAAUCAAUAACCUGACUACUGAAAUACCCUUGCAUAGUUUUACUAUUCCAAAUGUGUGCAAUACCAAAAUUACUGAUAUUACCAAUAUUAGAAUGUCAAUAAUACUUAUCCUAUAGCAUACUCUGAAGAAUCCAUCUAACUCAGUAUGGCCCUCUCUUGCUUUGCUAAACCCCAGCCUGAAGCUGGACUCCACUCCUGCUCUUCAGCUGAAGACACUCCUAACCAGCAAGGUGCCUGAGCAGAGCAGAGCUCUGUGAUGUGGGACCACUGUAGAUCUGUGUUCCCUGGAAGGCAGUGAAAGAGAGGUUUGUGCUGGAAAGGGGGAUCCUGUGCAUGAAGUAAUGUUGAGCAAGAUAAUGGGUCCCAAUACCAUCUUGGCAUGAAACUCUACUACAGUAUGAAAAGCUCAGGGACAGCUGCUUCUUCUUUCUCACAGGAUUAGAUUAGAUUAGAUGGGAAGAAAAUAGAACAUAAACAUUAAUCCUAUCCCCUACUCUGCAAUAGUCGUGUGUGUGUGUAAAUAAAAUGCCAGCAAAAAUCCUCCUGGCCAGUUACCUUGGAAGUAACAUGAAAUUAAGCCUGUCUGCUCUGUCUCUCUCUGCUUUGUACAGCUCUGUCCUUUCCUCCACCAGGUGUUCCAGGUUCCGGGAGUACAGCUGUAGACGCCGGAUCAGGGUAUCCAUGUAGCUCUCAUUGGUCUGGCCAUGGAAAUUACUGCAAAUAACAGAAUUACACAGGAGUCUCUGAUAGAUGGACAUUGUUGAGAGCAGCUAAAAGGAGGCAAAAAAGCAGCAGCAGAAAACUUCUCCAGUGCUUGACUUCCCUGUAGUUCGAAUACAAAGUGCCUGAAGUGCAUCAUUCUUUUGCUUGCUUGGAGGCCUUUUGUAGAUGAAUUGAAAGUCUGUAAUCCACACUUGUCAGCUGGAGUUUGUAAUUCUUAAAGCACCCGUCAAUCACCUAACCUUGCUAAUAUUGUCUAUUCUGGAUUACCUUAGGUAACCCAGGAACAUUCAUUUAUAAAAAAGCUGAGAAGAUCAGAUCCUGAGAGGAAGCUAAAAAUAGUAGGUAGAAAAUUGCACAUUAUGUUUAGAUGGGGACUUCAGGAGAAGAAUUAAGACAAUUUGGGGCUGUCUGUUUAGAAGACCGAAGAAUACAGUGGAACAAUGAACAGCCCCAGGGCUAAUUUUACUCACAAAAUCCUGAAGAUUCAAGCCUACUAACUCCUGGAAGCAGGAGUGUGGUAACAUGAGCUACUCAAACCUCUGUUUGUCUGGGCAGCCUGCACCCACCAAAGCAGUCUGAAAGAAAUUGGGACCAGGCUGACUGGAAGAGUCAGAUUAGGAUUGUAUCCAACAGGACUUCAAAAUCACUCCUACUUUAAACAAAUUUUGUAUCAGGAAUUCAUCAUUUUAGACCCACCCAUACUGCAUGCAACAAGAGGUAGCCUCUUUGCUUUUGUAGGAUGGAGGCUUAGGAGCUGAACCAGGAGGCCUUCAUGUUCAGCUGCAGAAAGAUUAUUCAGCUGACACAUUGUUAUGCAUAAUACUGCUGUCCUGCCCAUGUAGAAUGUAAAAUGGUGCUGUUGGGGUUUGUUGAUUAGGAGAGCCUUAAAAACUGGGGAGCAAUGUCCCAGGAGAAGUGAUUAAAUCCUCAUGGUUUGGUCAUUGGAAUAAUUAAUUCAGACCGAAUUCUGCAGGAACAAUGCAGCAUUGUCCAGGUCCCCUGCCAGUGAGGGGGUACACUAAAGAAACUAGGAGACAGCAUAGUUGGGACAGGUGACCCAGACUAACCAAAGGGAUAUUUCACACCAAAGAACAUCAUGCCUGGCAUAUAAACUGGGGGAAGUUACCUGGAAGGGAGGAUUAUCUGUGUUCAGGAAGAGACCACUGCUAAAGAUGACAGUCUUUGUAUGAUCACAGAAGCAGAGACAAUAUAUACCCUCAGAAGAGCUGAUGAUUCUCAGUUCAUGAUCAUAAUACUGCUGCACUUGAAACGCUGCAUGAAAUUCCAAGCAGUUAGAAAAAAAUUUAUGCAGAGUGUUGGACUGAGUUGAAGAAAUGGAUCCAUGCAAUGAAAACAUAAAAACCUCAUGGUGUUUUGACUCCUACAGUGUCUCAAGAGAAAUACCAUCUUCUAGAUUGAACUUUUAUGUCACCAAUACCUUAAAGAAAUAUAAGAGUAUCCCAAGAAAGCCAAAGAUGGGUAGUAAAGUGGAAAAAUUCUGAAGACUGGUGUGAGGCUUAUAUUUCUGUGUAUGUAUAGGAAUCAGAGCUUUUUAGCAGAUGCAAGAACACUGAGCCUUGCUGGAUCUCCUCCCUUGAUUAUUAACCUGUCAUAACAACACCAUGCAUACAAACACUACUUGGCAUAUACCAGAGCUCACACUAGGGACAACCACACAGGUCUGUAAGGUAAGUUAAUGAAUGGCUCUUCAAGGAGAGAUCAAAGGCAUUGUCCUAGUGGGAAAACUGUUCAAGGACAAAGAAACGGAAAGCCAAAGGGGUUGGUACCUUAGAAUCAGCAAAGAGAUGAUCAGAACUAGAAUCACAAUUCCCGUGAGUGUAAAGACAGCAAUAGUCAAGAUGUGUGGGCCUGCAGAAAAGAAAAAAAUGAAAGAUAAAUAACUUCAUGAAGAUGCUGAAAAACAAUAUUAUAUUUAAGAAAUUACCCUCACACGUGCAAAUCACCAUAUCUGACCAAGGAUACUUUUUAGUCACACCCAAAUUGAGAGGUUUUGGUAAAGUCCAGCGCUGCCCUUGGGAUGACACUUGCCUCUUUCAAUGUGGGAUGAAGCAUGACCCAGAGCAGUGCAGUCUUACAUCCCCACCUGAGGCAUGGGCAAUCUGUGGGGAUACCCAGGCAAUGGUGCUACUGUGUGGACUGUACUCUUCAGAAGGAAAUUAAUAUGCUACAGAGGGAAAUUAAUCUGGUGGCAGCACAAAGACAGUAAAGUGUCCUUGGAAGCUGCCAGGAGCCAAACAUUUUGAAAAUCAUGUUGUUCAUGUUCUGAAGACUUAGGCCCAAAAGCACACCAGGUUCUAAUCCUGAACAGGCAGACAGAAAGGUUGGGACCUGACUAAAGUUUCAAUGUUGAUUAUCUUACGGUGGAAAAGCAAACUGAAGCUUCUCUCAUGUCUGUUCUUGGAGCUCAGGGAUACUGGGAAGGAAAGUUGUCAGCCACCAACUUCCUUUGAAGAAUAACAGGCCAUUAUCACAGAGCUUCAGCUGGUGGUCACAUGUCUAGAGUGAACCUCCUUUACUGACAGCUUCAAACAAAAACAUACUGAAGGGAAUAUUUGAAGGAUAUUUCAGAUCCACUGACAAUACAGCAUGUUAUGGGGCCCAAGGGAUGGAUGAGAAUGGGACUGGAGCAACAUAAAGAAGACAGGAGCAAGAAAGUACAAAGCUCAUGGAGCUGGUACAGGGAGACCUUGUGGCUGAUGUGUGCAGUGCUGCUGUCUCUGCACAGACAGCACUCAUGGUCAUACCAAGGGAGACCAGAGAUUUGACCAGAGAUGAAAAAUGAAAGCUCCACUGCAAUCCCUCUGCUCUUCCCAGAACUAACUUGAGUCUUAUCAAAGCUGCUGCAUCCCUCCUCCUGGCAACUCCCAUGUUAAACCAACAAAAACCACUAUUCCUGCCUCUCUUAUGAGAGAUAAAGCUUAAUUUGAGGGCAUCUGAUUUACUUUACUAAGGAAUAAAAAUGUUUAAAUUUUACCACCUUACUGUGAAUGGACUCUUAGUUAGCAGACGUUGUUUAUCUCUCCAGUUAUUCUUUGCCUAUUCCCUAAUGGAGGCAAGCAAUACAGCAAAUUAAUAGGACAACUUUAGCAGAGACUUUUAACAGCAGCAUCUCUGGAUACCCACUGAUGGAAUGACUCAGGUGAACACUAACCCACUGUGCACUAACCCUUGCAAUUACUGCCACUGUAAUAAUUUUUAUUCUGCACAUCAUAACCUGAAGCAUGUGCCCUUCCAUUGCCAAUCACCAUGUAGCAGCAGUCUUAA